Molecule: ribosomal RNA, 505 nt
Filed under: uncultured bacterium
Lineage: Bacteria
Description: partial 16S ribosomal RNA
Rfam family: Bacterial small subunit ribosomal RNA
Source: RNAcentral
GAUGAACGCUAGCUACAGGCUUAACACAUGCAAGUCGAGGGGUAACGAGAGGGAAGCUUGCUUUCCUUGUCGACGACCGGCGCACGGGUGAGUAACGCGUAUCCAACCUGCCCCCAACUAGGGAAUAACCUUGCGAAAGUAAGACUAAUACCCUAUAAUUUCCUCAGAUGUCAUCUGACGAGGAAUAAAGAUUUCUCGGUUAUAGAUGGGGAUGCGUCUGAUUAGCUUGUUGGCGGGGUAACGGCCCACCAAGGCAACGAUCAGUAGGGGUUCUGAGAGGAAGGUCCCCCACAUUGGAACCGAGACACGGUCCAAACUCCUACGGGAGGCAGCAGUGAGGAAAUUGGUCAAUGGGCGGAAGCCUGAACCAGCCAAGUAGCGUGCAGGAUGACGGCCCUAUGGGUUGUAAACUGCUUUUAUACAGGAAUAAAGUUAGCCACGUGUGGUUAUUUGUAGGUACUGUAUGAAUAAGGACCGGCUAAUUCCGUGCCAGCAGCCGCAGUAA